This 479-nucleotide ribosomal RNA is filed under the name uncultured Nitrospiraceae bacterium. Its description in RNAcentral is "bacterial SSU rRNA". It matches the Rfam family "Bacterial small subunit ribosomal RNA", at positions 29 to 505 of the family's 1533-position model. Lineage: Bacteria; Pseudomonadati; Nitrospirota; Nitrospiria; Nitrospirales; Nitrospiraceae. The record is from RNAcentral.
AACGAACGCUGGCGGCGCGCCUAACACAUGCAAGUCGAACGAGAGGCUCUUCGGAGUAGUAAAGUGGCGAACGGGUGAGUAAUACAUGGGUAAUCUGCCUUUGAGCGGGGGAUAACCAGCCGAAAGGCUGGCUAAUACCCCAUACGCUUCCGGUCCUUCGGGUAAGGAAGGAAAGCUGCAUCGUGGAUGUGGCACUCGAAGAUGGGCCCAUGGCCUAUCAGCUUGUUGGUGGGGUAAUGGCCUACCAAGGCAACGACGGGUAGCUGGUCUGAGAGGACGAUCAGCCACACUGGCACUGAGAUACGGGCCAGACUCCUACGGGAGGCAGCAGUGAGGAAUAUUGCGCAAUGGGCGAAAGCCUGACGCAGCGACGCCGCGUGGGGGAAGAAGGUUUUCGGAUUGUAAACCCCUUUUAGGAGGAAAGAUGGGGUGGUUCGCCACCCGGACGGUACCUCCAGAAAAAGCCACGGCUAACUUCG